GACGAACGCUGGCGGCGUGCUUAACACAUGCAAGUCGAACGGAAAGGCCCUGCUUUUGUGGGGUGCUCGAGUGGCGAACGGGUGAGUAACACGUGAGUAACCUGCCCUUGACUUUGGGAUAACUUCAGGAAACUGGGGCUAAUACCGGAUAGGAGCUCCUGCUGCAUGGUGGGGGUUGGAAAGUUUCGGCGGUUGGGGCUGGACUCGCGGCUUAUCAGCUUGUUGGUGGGGUAGUGGCUUACCAAGGCUUUGACGGGUAGCCGGCCUGAGAGGGUGACCGGCCACCAUGGGCCUGAGAUACGGACCAGACUCCUACGGGAGGCAGCGGUGGGGAAUAUUGCACAAUGGGCGGAAGCCUGAUGCGGCAACGCCGCGUGCGUGAUGACGGCCUUCGGGUUGUAAACCGCUUUCGCCUGUGACGAAGCGUGAGUGACGGUACUGGGUAAAGAAGCACCGGCUAACUACGUG
RNAcentral lists this ribosomal RNA (468 nucleotides) under uncultured bacterium. Its description in RNAcentral is "partial 16S ribosomal RNA". It matches the Rfam family "Bacterial small subunit ribosomal RNA", at positions 28 to 507 of the family's 1533-position model. The record is from RNAcentral.